RNAcentral lists this unclassified non-coding RNA (253 nucleotides) under uncultured Planctomycetota bacterium. Its description in RNAcentral is "uncultured planctomycete contains 16S-23S intergenic spacer region". It matches the Rfam family "Bacterial small subunit ribosomal RNA", at positions 524 to 776 of the family's 1533-position model. The record is from RNAcentral. Lineage: Bacteria; Pseudomonadati; Planctomycetota.
GACGAAGGUGGCGACCGUUGUUCGGAAUCACUGGGCAUAAAGCGCGCGCAGGCGGCGAGGCAAGCCAGGUGUGAAAGCCCUCGGCCCAACCGAGGAACUGCGCUUGGAACUGCCUUGCUUGAGGACGGGAGGGGAGCGUGGAAUUCCUGGUGGAGCGGUGAAAUGCGUUGAUAUCAGGAGGAACACCGGCGGCGAAGGCGACGCUCUGGCCCGUUACUGACGCUGAGGCGCGAAAGCCAGGGGAGCAAACGGG